UACGUAGGGUGCAAGCGUUGUCCGGAAUUAUUGGGCGUAAAGAGCUCGUAGGCGGUUUGUCGCGUCUGCCGUGAAAGUCCGGGGCUCAACUCCGGAUCUGCGGUGGGUACGGGCAGACUAGAGUGAUGUAGGGGAGACUGGAAUUCCUGGUGUAGCGGUGAAAUGCGCAGAUAUCAGGAGGACACCGAUGCGAAGGCAGGUCUCUGGGCAUUAACUGACGCUGAGGAGCGAAAGCAUGGGGAGCGAACAGG
This 251-nucleotide ribosomal RNA is filed under the name uncultured bacterium. RNAcentral describes it as "partial 16S ribosomal RNA". It matches the Rfam family "Bacterial small subunit ribosomal RNA", at positions 524 to 776 of the family's 1533-position model. The record is from RNAcentral.